AUCCAGUCCACAGGGAGAAACAGGUCUCGGAGGCAGUGUAUGCCCUCCAUCUUGAAGUGCCGAUAUUGGACGAAGGCAUUUAAGGGUCGCAGGUUUAUAACCGGGCAAAUGCCUCCACCCUUUUUCGGUACUAGAAACAGGUUGCUCACAAAACCUGGGGUAUCUUGAGGGAUUUCCUCUAUGGCAAUCUUGGCCUUCAGAUCCCUGAUCACAGAGGAGAUGAGAUCGAGGUGGGUUUCGGCAUAUUGAGCACCCGUGGUGGGGCGUCCUGAAAAGGAAGGUCUGUUAACUCCAAGUGAUAACCCUGUACAGUCUGUAACACCCAGGUAUCGGAUGUGAUCAUAGCCCAAGCUCGGUAGAAUAGAGCCAGUCUGUCCCCCACAUUUAUAUGGGAAAAAAUGGGAAUAUACCGUACUUACCAUAAGGACGUUUUCCUGGGGUCGUUCCCCGACCGCCGCGGGCAUUCCAAGGUCGUCCUCAGGUAGGAAAGAACGGGGUAUAUGAAUGCACUUGCCUUGCUCUUUGUGGAUUGAAGGAGCCUUUGCCCGGUCUGGAGAAACCCCGGGGAUUGCGGCCGGAUAGUCGGCUCCUACCUCUACCGGCCCCACUGAAAAGCUUAUGGUUGAAGAGCCUUUUGAUUGAGG
Molecule: non-coding RNA, 644 nt
Organism: Pelobates cultripes (western spadefoot toad)
Lineage: Eukaryota; Metazoa; Chordata; Amphibia; Anura; Pelobatidae
Source: the annotation of a GenBank genome assembly